Monodelphis domestica (gray short-tailed opossum) is the source of this 2367-nucleotide non-coding RNA. The record is from RefSeq and is a predicted model, not a curated record. NCBI's taxonomy places the organism in Eukaryota, Metazoa, Chordata, Mammalia, Didelphimorphia, Didelphidae.
CUCUACGUUAAGCAUUUAAAAAUAUUUUCAUUUUCCAUCAGUGGGUCUGCUUGGCUCCAACCCCACAGAAUAUCAUCCUCCAUUCCCCCACUCCCUCUCCAAGAUAAACUGAUCACCUGAAAUCUCAAUACUAUGUAGAUUGUUUUUAGUUUUGAUACUCAACACCUUUUCAACUUAUUCUCAGUUGCUUCUCUCCUCUGAUUGGAAGGCUGGAGUUUAAAGCACUAAACUCCAUCCGAAGCCUUCCUUUGCAGAGCGCUCACAACUUUCCUGGUAACUCCAUUUUCUAUCACCAUAUAGACUUGGUUUCUAAUCCAUGGGACAUUAUGCCCCCUAAGAUGUAUCAUACCUGGUGUUGGCCCCCACUCCCUUCAACUUCCCUUCCUGUUUUGCUCCUAUUAGAUUGUAAACUCCUUGAGGGAAGGACUGCCUUUUUCUUAUUUGUACCCACAGCACAGUGGUUGGCACAUAGUAGGAACUUAAUAAAUGCUAAUUGAAUUAGGAUCACAGGCCUUAGGGCUGGCUGGAAGCUUAUUAUAUCAUCUAGUCCAACUCCCUUAUUUUACAGAGGCACAAAUUGGGGGCUAGGAGGAAUUUACUUGACCAAAGUCAUACACAGUGAAGGCAAGUUUAGAAUCCAUAUCCCCAAACUCCAAAUCUUACGUUCCCUCCACUAGACCACUCUGUCCUAGGGAAGAAUGAUAUAAGGCUUAGAAAGACAUGAGAAAAACAGGGCUACAGAGGAGAAAGGACUCAAGGAGAGCUCUUGUCUCUCUGGAGGGGAGAGCUCUACCUUCACUGCUCCUGUCCAGCAUCAGAAGCCAAGGGCAUAGUCUGUUCCCCCAGGAUAAAAAGAAAUAAAGGGACGGGAGGGGAUAAAAAGCUUGUACCUAGGCUGGAAAGUUGAGCCCAAACUAUAGCCUUCUCCCCAGGGCGAAGAUGACAGCAGCUGAACCUCUGCUGAAGACAGGCUCAGGGUUUAGCCAUAAAGUCAAGUCACAGAAAGGUCAAAACUCUUUCAAUGUCCAGACUUGGGAUGUUGGGAACCAAUAAACAAAGCAAUCAAUGGAUGCAGUCCCCGUGCCCUCAGGGUCGACAGCACAGUCACAGAAACACAAGAUGGCACACCGAUAUACACACACUCACAAGAAGGGGCAUACAUAAACAUGCUAAGCCAGCUGGCUACAGGUCCUACUUCAUCCUGAGGUCUGAUGGAUUUGUGGUUGAGGUUAUAUUAUUUAGGUCUUUGGGGGGGCUGCCCUCUCUCCUCCCAUCCCACAACUUUCCCAGUAGUAGUCAGGGAUAUGUUUCCAGGCUAGUCUGAAAGGUCAGGAGGAUGGCUAGGAAUUCUGAAAUCAGGGAACUCACAAAUGAUGCCCAAGACAUGCUAAUCAACAUUUAUUUUGAAAGCAAUUGUUUGGGCAUUUAAUAACAGUGUAUGUGUUGGAAUCUGUGAUAUUCUCUCUGUUCAAAGACAAAUUGAGACUCAGAGCUCUAGAAUUCUUAUAAUAACCCAGAGAGAUUUUUCUUCUCUUUCUUUCUCUCUCUAUCCCUCUCUCCCUUUUUGUUAAAGCUGGAAAGGAUCUUGGAGAUCAUUUGUAUUGCUUGGCUAAGAGGAUCCCAUUUCUGGAAUCCACGUUAGAAACUUCUUGAAACUCCCUCCUUUCCUUUCCUUCUUGGCCUAACUUUCCUUCCUCCACAGAGGGGACCAGACCAAAGUCCAGGCUUUGCUGUGAUUUACAACCUCAUAAACUGAGUCCCUGGGGACAGAGCUGGCUAUUGUUCACCUCGUUAAACUUUAUUUACAGGGCUAAUGAGCCCCUCCCCCUCUGCCAUCCCUAAGACAGGCCAGAGAUCCCAGAAUUUUCCUCCCUGCUCUACACAGCCCUGGCCAAACAUUCAGGGGACUGGGGGUCGAGUACCUGCCCUCCCAAAUAGAUCCUAGCCUAAUUUCUUAGAAGGGGAAGGUGGCCAAAAGGUGUGGGAUGAGACAGAUCUAGCUGAGCCUUUGACCAGGUGCAAUUACAGGUCAAAGAUUACCAGUGCUUAGAUUUUUCUUUUUCUUUUCUUUUUUUUUCCACCUAUAGAGGCAGUUUGGGGCUUCAUUGAUUUCUCUUCUGUGACAGUUCAUGCCUUACCAGUCCAGGAUUUUCACUCCAGAGACUAAGCAAUGGGCAAAGUCCCAGAAAACCACUUCUACCGACCCUCCUUACAUGCGGAUGUGCCCCUUCCUCAGCCCUGGGCCAACUCCAAAUGGGCAUCACUCACCGGCUCGAGGGGAUGUAGUUGAAUUCUGCAGGUACCGCCCACUCCGGUAGAGAUGCAAAACCUUCUCCAGUUGGGCCAGUGUUUCAUCCACUCCCCAGG